This 734-nucleotide ribosomal RNA is filed under the name uncultured Staphylococcus sp. Its description in RNAcentral is "bacterial SSU rRNA". It matches the Rfam family "Bacterial small subunit ribosomal RNA", at positions 61 to 777 of the family's 1533-position model. Lineage: Bacteria; Bacillati; Bacillota; Bacilli; Caryophanales; Staphylococcaceae. The record is from RNAcentral.
GUCGAGCGAACAGACGAGGAGCUUGCUUCUCUGACGUUAGCGGCGGACGGGUGAGUAACACGUGGAUAACCUACCUAUAAGACUGGGAUAACUUCGGGAAACCGGAGCUAAUACCGGAUAAUAUAUUGAACCGCAUGGUUCAAUAGUGAAAGACGGUUUUGCUGUCACUUAUAGAUGGAUCCGCGCCGCAUUAGCUAGUUGGUAAGGUAACGGCUUACCAAGGCAACGAUGCGUAGCCGACCUGAGAGGGUGAUCGGCCGCACUGGAACUGAGACACGGUCCAGACUCCUACGGGAGGCAGCAGUAGGGAAUCUUCCGCAAUGGGCGAAAGCCUGACGGAGCAACGCCGCGUGAGUGAUGAAGGUCUUCGGAUCGUAAAACUCUGUUAUUAGGGAAGAACAAAUGUGUAAGUAACUAUGCACGUCUUGACGGUACCUAAUCAGAAAGCCACGGCUAACUACGUGCCAGCAGCCGCGGUAAUACGUAGGUGGCAAGCGUUAUCCGGAAUUAUUGGGCGUAAAGCGCGCGUAGGCGGUUUUUUAAGUCUGAUGUGAAAGCCCACGGCUCAACCGUGGAGGGUCAUUGGAAACUGGAAAACUUGAGUGCAGAAGAGGAAAGUGGAAUUCCAUGUGUAGCGGUGAAAUGCGCAGAGAUAUGGAGGAACACCAGUGGCGAAGGCGACUUUCUGGUCUGUAACUGACGCUGAUGUGCGAAAGCGUGGGGAUCAAACAGGA